Molecule: ribosomal RNA, 492 nt
Filed under: uncultured bacterium
Lineage: Bacteria
Description: partial 16S ribosomal RNA
Rfam family: Bacterial small subunit ribosomal RNA
Source: RNAcentral
AGUGAACGCUGGCGGUAGGCCUAACACAUGCAAGUCGAACGGCAGCACAGUAAGAGCUUGCUCUUACGGGUGGCGAGUGGCGGACGGGUGAGGAAUACAUCGGAAUCUACUUUUUCGUGGGGGAUAACGUAGGGAAACUUACGCUAAUACCGCAUACGACCUACGGGUGAAAGCAGGGGAUCUUCGGACCUUGCGCGAUUGAAUGAGCCGAUGUCGGAUUAGCUAGUUGGCGGGGUAAAGGCCCACCAAGGCGACGAUCCGUAGCUGGUCUGAGAGGAUGAUCAGCCACACUGGAACUGAGACACGGUCCAGACUCCUACGGGAGGCAGCAGUGGGGAAUAUUGGACAAUGGGCGCAAGCCUGAUCCAGCCAUACCGCGUGGGUGAAGAAGGCCUUCGGGUUGUAAAGCCCUUUUGUUGGGAAAGAAAAGCAGCAGGUUAAUACCCCGCUGUUCUGACGGUACCCAAAGAAUAAGCACCUGCUAACUUCGUG